UCGUGCGAGAAAGUAUCUUCGGAUAUGAGUAGAGCGGCGGACGGGUGAGUAACGCGUAGGAAUCUACCUAGUAGAAGGGGAUAGCCCGGGGAAACUCGGAUUAAUACCGUAUACCUCCUUAGGGAGAAAGAAGGCCUCUCUUUGAAGCUUUCGCUACUAGAUGAGCCUGCGUAAGAUUAGCUUGUUGGUGAGGUAAUGGCUCACCAAGGCGACGAUCUUUAGCGGGUCCGAGAGGACGAUCCGCCACAUUGGGACUGAGACACGGCCCAGACUCCUACGGGAGGCAGCAGUGGGGAAUAUUGGACAAUGGGCGCAAGCCUGAUCCAGCCAUACCGCGUGUGUGAAGAAGGCCCUAGGGUUGUAAAGCACUUUAAGUUGGGAAGAAAAGUUAUUGGUUAAUACCCAAUAACCGUGACAUUACCUUCAGAAUAAGGACCGGCUAAUUCCGUGCCAGCAGCCGCGGUAAUACGGAAAGGUCCAAGCGUUAAUCGGAAUUACUGGGCGUAAAGCGCGCGU
RNAcentral lists this ribosomal RNA (516 nucleotides) under uncultured marine bacterium. Its description in RNAcentral is "bacterial SSU rRNA". It matches the Rfam family "Bacterial small subunit ribosomal RNA", at positions 62 to 572 of the family's 1533-position model. The record is from RNAcentral.